AGUGAACGCUGGCGGUAGGCCUAACACAUGCAAGUCGAACGGCAGCACAGUAAGAGCUUGCUCUUACGGGUGGCGAGUGGCGGACGGGUGAGGAAUACAUCGGAAUCUACUUUUUCGUGGGGGAUAACGUAGGGAAACUUACGCUAAUACCGCAUACGACCUACGGGUGAAAGCAGGGGAUCUUCGGACCUUGCGCGAUUGAAUGAGCCGAUGUCGGAUUAGCUAGUUGGCGGGGUAAAGGCCCACCAAGGCGACGAUCCGUAGCUGGUCUGAGAGGAUGGGCAGCCACACUGGAAGUAAGACACGGUCCAGACUCCUACGGGAGGCAGCAGUGGGGAAUAUUGGAAAAUGGGCGCAAGCCUGAUCCAGCCAUACCGCGUGGGUGAAGAAGGCCUUCGGGUUGUAAAGCCCUUUUGUUGGGAAAGAAAAGAAGCAGGUUAAUACCCCGCUGUUCUGACGGUACCCAAAGAAUAAGCACCGGCUAACUUCGUG
This 492-nucleotide ribosomal RNA is filed under the name uncultured bacterium. RNAcentral's name for it is "partial 16S ribosomal RNA". It matches the Rfam family "Bacterial small subunit ribosomal RNA", at positions 29 to 507 of the family's 1533-position model. The record is from RNAcentral.